AUUAUGCUAAGUGAAGUAAGCUAGUCAGACAAAGACAAAUACCAUAUGAUUUCACUCAUAUGUGGAAUCUAAUGCACAAGCUGAACUGACAAGGAAAAUGGGGACAGACUCAUAGGUGGAGAGCAGGAAGACAGCUAGUGGAGGGGGGAGGGAAAUGAGCGGAGGGAU
This is a long non-coding RNA of Phyllostomus discolor (pale spear-nosed bat), 168 nucleotides long. RefSeq lists it as uncharacterized. The transcript is spliced from 3 exons. The record is from RefSeq and is a predicted model, not a curated record. NCBI's taxonomy places the organism in Eukaryota, Metazoa, Chordata, Mammalia, Chiroptera, Phyllostomidae.